CAGAAAAUAAAUAUACAGGAAUGUGGCAGAAGUAGACCAUGGCAUAAUGUUUACAACCACUUUCCCGUCGUAUUUGGAGCCGGCGUGUGCUGCUCUGCCAUUGUACAGGUAUGACUAA
This 118-nucleotide long non-coding RNA is filed under the name Anas platyrhynchos platyrhynchos (common mallard). RNAcentral's name for it is "lncRNA (ENSAPLG00000024787.1)". The record is from RNAcentral. Lineage: Eukaryota; Metazoa; Chordata; Aves; Anseriformes; Anatidae.